Molecule: ribosomal RNA, 409 nt
Filed under: Theileria ovis
Lineage: Eukaryota; Apicomplexa; Aconoidasida; Piroplasmida; Theileriidae
Description: SSU rRNA
Rfam family: Eukaryotic small subunit ribosomal RNA
Source: RNAcentral
AUUGGAGGGCAAGUCUGGUGCCAGCAGCCGCGGUAAUUCCAGCUCCAAUAGCGUAUAUUAAAAUUGUUGCAGUUAAAAAGCUCGUAGUUGAAUUUCUGCUGCAUUGCUUUUGCUCCUUUACGAGUCUUUGCAUUGUGGCUUAUUUCGGACUUUGUUUUACAAUGUCCGGAUGUUUACUUUGAGAAAAUUAGAGUGCUCAAAGCAGGCUUUCGCCUUGAAUAGUUUAGCAUGGAAUAAUAAAGUAGGACUUUGGUUCUAUUUUGUUGGUUUUAGGUACCAAAGUAAUGGUUAAUAGGAACAGUUGGGGGCAUUCGUAUUUAACUGUCAGAGGUGAAAUUCUUAGAUUUGUUAAAGACGAACUACUGCGAAAGCAUUUGCCAAGGAUGUUUUCAUUAAUCAAGAACGAAAG